CCUGUGCCCCGCGCAGUCUGGUUUCUGGCCGCCUUCGUGAUGGCGGUGCUUCCACACCUUCCUGAGAACAAGGCCCGCAUCACAUCGGUCUUCGGGAACGUGCUGCAGAUGGACUCCACCAAGAAGAUGGUCAAGAAGCUUGCGGGGGCGGCCGCCGGAACCGCCGCCUGGGUCACCAACGCAGAGAACGAGCACAGGCAGGAGCUCAUGUCCGGGCUCACUGUCGCCGAGGGCGUAGGGCUGUCGAGCGGACUGAUGCGGCGGUACAGGGAGGCGGGACAGCUUCUGUACGUGGACCGCGACUGCUGCUCCGCCACCGGGAAGAGCAAGGUCGCGGCCAUGUUCGCCGAUUGGAAGGAGCUGAUGGUGCGGCUGGACGUGUGGCACCUCAUGCGGCGCUUCGCCAGGGGGGUGACCACAGACGGCCACAUCCUCUACGGUCCCUUCAUGGCCCGGCUGUCCCUGGCCAUCUUCGAGUGGGACGCAGAGGACAGCAACCUGCUGAGAUGGGCCAAGCAGCCUGUGGACGGCAGCCGACCGGUCACUCUUUCGGUCAAGGAGCUGGCCCGACACUGCCGUCGCCGCACCAGAGGGGCCGAGGAGACGGAGCGGCUCAUCCAUGAGGUGCUGGACCACUUCUGGGAGGCCAAGGAUACCAUGGGCAUGGCUCUCCUAGACCAGGCCAGGACUCGGCACAUCUGUUACACGCAGUGCCAGCACAUGGCCUGCAUCCAGGACCCGCCCGUCGUCACCUUAUACACCAAGGCGGGGGAGGUGACGAGAGGCGGCAUCAAGCUUCCGAUCUUCAGGUGCGCGUGAGGCUCCACUUCCCUGGAGUGCUUCCACCUCCACCAGUGCCGCUUCAUUCCAGGCACCGUGGCCAACGCCCUCCACUUCCAGGUCUACCUGCUGGAGGGCUUGACCCGGUGGACCAAGCCAGGGCAGCCUUGGUGGGGGGCCCGUCGACGACCUUGACACGCUGCUACAACUCCCGCCUGCUCGACGCUUUCCAAAAGCUGACGCAGAAGCUGCUGAACCGCACGGUGGUGGAAAACUACACCCCGCCGGGGGAGUACAGCGGGGAGCUCAUCGGCUUAGACUACCUGUACGACCGGCGCCGCACUCCACCCGGAACCCGGUCGUGACAAGGAGGUGUAGGAGGAGGACCUGACCGCUUGGAUGGACAAGGUGGUGGAGGAGGAGGAGGACGACAACGGGGCGGUCAAUGUGGAAGACCUGGACGAAGGAGACCCGGAGUUCAUGGCCUUGACAGACUGCCAAGACAGGGGCAGGGGCAGGGACAGGGUGGCUGCGCCCCCACCACGUCCAGACGCCUUCGUAGAGGAUGACGUCCUUGGACCGGACAGACACAGGGGCUACCAGCACGUCUACCGCCUGGCGUCGCCGCUAGUGGAGCUUCGCCUAUACUCCGUUGUCACGCAGUCGCAGGUGGCCAACAUAAGGGAU
Phyllopteryx taeniolatus (common seadragon) is the source of this 1467-nucleotide RNA transcript. RefSeq lists it as uncharacterized. The record is from RefSeq and is a predicted model, not a curated record. The transcript is spliced from 6 exons. NCBI's taxonomy places the organism in Eukaryota, Metazoa, Chordata, Actinopteri, Syngnathiformes, Syngnathidae.